GAUGAACGCUAGCGGGAGGCUUAACACAUGCAAGUCGAGGGGUAAAUGGCAGCAAUGCUAUGAGACCGGCGAACGGGUGCGUAACGCGUAUGCAACUUACCUUAUGCAGGGGGAUAGCCCGUGGAAACGCGGAUUAAUAUCCCAUAGAUCAGUGGUAUCGCAUGGUACAGCUGGUAAAGCUCAGGUGGCAUAAGAUGGGCAUGCGUCUGAUUAGCUGGUUGGUAGGGUAACGGCCUACCAAGGCGACGAUCAGUAGGGGUUCUGAGAGGAUUAACCCCCACACUGGUACUGAGACACGGACCAGACUCCUACGGGAGGCAGCAGUGAGGAAUAUUGGUCAAUGGGCGGAAGCCUGAACCAGCCAUCCCGCGUGAAGGAAGAAGGCCUUAUGGGUUGUAAACUUCUUUUCUGUUUGAAGAAUAAGCUUGUCGAGACAAGUGAUGCCGGUAGGACAGGAAUAAGCAUCGGCUAACUCCGUGCCAGCAGCCG
This 489-nucleotide ribosomal RNA is filed under the name uncultured bacterium. RNAcentral describes it as "bacterial SSU rRNA". It matches the Rfam family "Bacterial small subunit ribosomal RNA", at positions 28 to 517 of the family's 1533-position model. The record is from RNAcentral.